RNAcentral lists this ribosomal RNA (593 nucleotides) under uncultured bacterium. RNAcentral describes it as "bacterial SSU rRNA". It matches the Rfam family "Bacterial small subunit ribosomal RNA", at positions 338 to 944 of the family's 1533-position model. The record is from RNAcentral.
CCUACGGGAGGCAGCAGUGGGGAAUCUUGCGCAAUGGGCGAAAGCCUGACGCAGCAACGCCGCGUGGGGGAUGAAGGCUCUCGGGUUGUAAACCCCUUUCAGCAGGGACGAAUCAAGACGGUACCUGCAGAAGAAGCCCCGGCUAACUACGUGCCAGCAGCCGCGGUAACACGUAGGGGGCAAGCGUUGUCCGGAUUUAUUGGGCGUAAAGAGCUCGUAGGUGGCUGAGUAAGUCGGAUGUUAAAUCCCCAGGCUCAACCUGGGACACCACCCGAUACUGCUCUGGCUAGAGUCCGGUAGGGGAGCGUGGAAUUCCUGGUGUAGCGGUGAAAUGCGCAGAUAUCAGGAGGAACACCAGCGGCGAAGGCGGCGCUCUGGGCCGGUACUGACACUGAGGAGCGAAGGCGUGGGUAGCAAACAGGAUUAGAUACCCUGGUAGUCCACGCCGUAAACGUUGGGCACUAGGUGUGGGGUCUAUUCAACGGACUCCGUGCCGUAGCUAACGCAUUAAGUGCCCCGCCUGGGGAGUACGGCCGCAAGGCUAAAACUUAAAUGAAUUGACGGCUGAGACGNGCGAGCGACGACGAGGAGAG